RNAcentral lists this long non-coding RNA (4101 nucleotides) under Malus domestica (apple). RNAcentral describes it as "long non-coding RNA (MDOM_LNC007722)". The record is from RNAcentral. Lineage: Eukaryota; Viridiplantae; Streptophyta; Magnoliopsida; Rosales; Rosaceae.
GAUUGUUCUUAUUUCUGUCUCCAAACAAAUCCUUCAUUUCCUUGGCCCUUAUCCUCAUCGAUUCACCCGAGUCGUCCACCAUUGCCAACCUUACAAACUCAGCCACCGAGUCACGAGUAAACGACCCAUCUCGUUCGUUCCUAGGUAUUUCCACCCCGAGCCCCUUUCCAUUCCCCAAUCGAGCAUUAAGCCCUUGGUCGUUCACCAUCGGAAAAAACAUCAAAACCCGUCCGAACAUGAGCCCUUCGAUCAUUGAGUUCCAACCGCAGUGAGUCAAGAAUCCCCCCACCGAGUCAUGACUCAGUAUGCGCACCUGCGGAGCCCACCCCAAGUCCACCACACCUCGACCCUUGACUCGUUCCAAAAACCCUGGAGGAAGCAUCUCAGACACUGACUGAGUCGACUCGGGCGGGUUUCUCAACACCCAAAAGAAGGGUACCCCGGACAGCUCCAACCCGAGAGCCAGCUCGGUGAGUUCCUCCUGACUCAGUGUCGCUUCGGUCCCGAGUGCAAUGUAAACCACCGAGUUGACUCGUUGCUUGUCCAACCACCCUUUAAUGCCACCCCAUGUUUCAUCAAAUUCACUUGCCUCCUCUUCUAUGUUAGGCGGUAAAAAUCCAACCGGAACAACGGGUUUUACUUUUACCUCGCGGUAAAGCUCUCUCACCAAAUUUAACCACUCGGGCUCAAACUCGUCAGAGCUUCUAACAAACACAACGUCGCUCUCCUCAAUCGCAACCCCAAAACGCACCGUAUCGGGAGUGCCCGACUCGUUCCCGCUUGAUGCUUGCACCCACUUGGCAACCUCGUGGAGCCGAUAUGCCAUGUCGGACUCGAACGGGACCCACUUGGGGACCACCGUGAAAUCCUCGGCCUUGGUCCUCCCAUCCUGGCCGCUGAUCAGAACCGACGGCGGACCGAGGUAGGCCAGGCAGGCGGCGUUGACACAGAAAAAGAAGGCGUGUGCGACGCCGAGCCUGGCGGCUAUGGCGGGAAGCCAGUGAGGGGCAUAGUCGUAAAUAACCCAGUCGGGUCUUGAGGACUCCAGGAAAGCGGUCAGCGGGGUUUGUAGCAUGUCGAAGGCCGUUUUGAGUAGUUGCUGCUUGUGGAAGGGGACGUCGGUUGAUGAUUCGGCGUCGUUUGGGAGGUUAGGGAGGCGGGGGAGAGGGAAGGAGACGAGGUUGACGAGGGAGGAGAGGUGGGAGGGUAUUUUGGGAAGUCUGGAGAGGUUCCUUGGGGUGGAGACGAAGGAGACGGUGUGACCCCUUUGAGCUAUGAGGGUGGAAAGGUGGAAGAAGGGGAUGAGGUGGCCCAUGGCCAGCCAUGGAAACACCACCACGUGAAGAACAGCUCCUCCGCCUCCUCCUCCUUGGCCUCCACUCUGAGUGUUCUGGUUGUCCAUGGAGAUUGACCUGUGUCCACUCUGAGUCACAGAGCAGAGGAUAGGGGAGGUGGAAUAUAUGGACGGAUUUAGAAAGAGUAAGCAAGUCUUGACCUUUUCUGUGUUGCCAACUCAAGUACAAUCAAAGUGGAAAAUUAGAGGAAGUUUGAAAAUUAUUCUUACAAAAAGUCAUCUGAUUUACAGACCGAUUGGUUAUUUUAGUGUAUCAAAUAAAUUAAUUGUAUAGGUACUAAAUAAUAUAUUAUUAAUCAUAAAUCAUUUAUUUAUUUGAUAUAGUUGAAUGACGAAAUUGGUCUUUAUUGAAAUUAUUUUUUUGUUUGAAUGAUCUUCAAAUGAAUAUUAAGAAAUUUAAUAAUAAUUAUAAUUUUUUUACAGUAUUGAUGUGUUAUUUGUAAGUGGAGCAAUGCAAGUCUUAAUUUUAUUUUUGGUAUCUAAAUGUAAGUUUUAUUCAUUUGUUGUAUAUUAUCUUGCAAUACCUAUACCACUUGGACUUCUAAGUCUUCCAAGCUGUAGGAAUCAUUGAAAUCAUAAAGUUUAACCCUAAUCUCAAUGACAGGUAAUAUCAUCACAUGAUAUGGGUAGGAGAUUAUAUCUCUGCAAUGUUACUUCAAGUUAUCAUAAUUUAGUUGUUCAUUUUGAACCUAGAUUUUGAGAUCUCUAGUCAACUAGGUUGGAUUUUCACUGUACUACUCUAAGACCUAGUUUGGGACUGAGGUGCUUAAAAAAAAAGCACCCAUGAAAAAAAGCUGUGAGGGUUUUAGGUGUUUGGUAAACUGAAAAAAAAUGGCUUAUUUUGGAAGCUGCUGUGAGAAUAAGCUGAAAUCAAAGGAAAAAACUGAAGCUGGUAUUUGCAGCUUUGGAAAACUGGUUUUUUUUUCAAAGCACACGGAGCUACAGUGUUUCUUUAAUGAAAAGACCCAUUAUUAGACUGCUUUUUUUUUCCAAAAGCACUUUUACAAAAAAGUUUACCAAACACUCUGCUGAUUUAUUUCACAGCCGCUUAUUCUCACAGCACAACCGCUUAUUCUCACAGCAGCUUUUUUUCAAAGCACAGCAAUAUCAAACCAGCCCUAAGUAUAGGCUUUUAACUUGUUCCCUUAGUUGAUGCAACUUCCUCUAAUCAAUCUUUUAAUAAUUGGUACUGCUAGGUUGACUACUUAUACACACUAUAUAGGGCCAUCACAAAACCUAUCAAUGCAUGGAAAUAAAUUUCGUUUGAGAGUAGUUGUUUUUCUACGUUAAGUCCUCCAGACUUAUAUUAGGGCUUAAUUACUAAGUAAUUUGCCAACACUUGGGUAAAUUUUCCCCACAUUUGAGGUAUUCAAGAGCUUAAAAAUAUCAUCGUAAGAGAUAAUAUUUACCGCUUUUUAAAAGCAAAUUACUUUUUCAUUCUUCUUAAGUUGACAUAUAAUCCAACAUUUUUGGAAAAAUGGUGUGCGUCUCUUUCCCUCGUGCAUUUGUUCGGAUUUGAAACAGUCAUAGAGACAACUAAAUUAAAAUUGACACAUGAUAUAAUAUGUGAAAUUGGUUUGUCAAACAAAGAGACAACCAAAUAAUUAAUUUGUCAGCAUGAAUCAUAAUUCAUAUGUAAAAUGGAAAUACCAAUCAAUUCUACGAUAAGAAUACGAUUCAUUAGACGAGCAAAAACAAAAUAUAGUCAUGCAAUUCAAUAUAUGAUCUCUUUGAAUCUUCAAAGUAAUGCAUGCACAUGAAUAACCAAUGUUAAAUGAACAUGACAUAAUGAAUUAGAAAAAACUUGGAAAUAUGGUCGAGGUAAAUGUUACAUAUUAUGUCUUUAAGACAAGUUUACGCCAUACUAUACUAUGCUCAUGGUUAAUCGGCGUUUGUCUUGCAGCAUACGACGACCACGUCUAUGCAAUAAUUGCAAUCCAAAUCGUAAGGCUCUAAUGAACCACAAUUGUGUGGAGUACUCUCUUAGAUGGACUCAAUACAUAGGACACUACAAAACUCUCUAACAAUAGUGCACUAUGUGUACGAAUAUGUGAAUGUAAAAGAUUUUUAGUGACGGUAGGGGACUUCCCUAUUUAUAGAAAUUGAGAUGUUUGCUUAAAAAAUAUGUGACUAUUCAUGAAUAGUCAAAAUUUAUGUGCUUUUACAUAAGUUGUAAACUUUGAAAUGCGGUUGAUUCUAAACCCUCGUUACAAAAUUCUGAUGUAUUUUCCUUUCUUUAACUUGCAUCAUGGACUCUUGCAAACAAUUGUUCACCCUUUUUCGGAUGGCUUUCAUGCAUAAUUCUAAUAAUACUUGUCUUUCGAAUGUUUUACCAAAUUUCAUAUUAUUUCAAAAUACACAUUUUUGUUGCAAUUUGUGACAUAAACUUGCCUAGUAAAUUUAUGUUGUAAACCUCGGUGGCCUAUUCUCCUCAAGAAAACAUAGGAAUUCAUCCACCAUCCGACUGUUCUUAUUUCUACCUCCAAACAAAUCCCUCAUUUCCUUAGCCCUAGUCCUUAACGAUUCACCCGAGUCAUCCACCAUUGCCAACCUUACUAGCUCAGCCACCGAGUCACCCGCAAACGACCCGUCUCGCUCGUUCCUAGGUAUUUCCACCCCGAGCCCCUUCCCGUUCCCCAAUCGAGCAUUAAGCCCUUGGUCGUUCACCAUCGGAAAAAACAUCAAAACCCGUCCGAACACGAGCCCUUCGAUCAUUGAGUUCCAACCGCAGUGAGUCAAGAAUCCCC